AAGAGCCGUAUACGAGGCCCGUACGUACGGUUCUGUGAGGGGGCUAACGCCGUAGUAAAUUACUACGACGUUACUCUACUCGAU
Molecule: non-coding RNA, 84 nt
Filed under: Desulforamulus putei DSM 12395
Lineage: Bacteria; Bacillati; Bacillota; Clostridia; Eubacteriales; Peptococcaceae
Source: RNAcentral